RNAcentral lists this long non-coding RNA (728 nucleotides) under Mytilus galloprovincialis (Mediterranean mussel). Lineage: Eukaryota; Metazoa; Mollusca; Bivalvia; Mytilida; Mytilidae. The record is from RNAcentral.
GACCCUUUGGACCUUAAUGUAGACCAAUUUGAAAACGGGACCAAAAAUUAAGAAUCUGCAUACACAGUUAGAUUCGGCAUACCAAAGAACCCCAAUUAUUCAAUUUUUGAUGAAAUCAAACAAAGUUUAAUUUGGACCCUUUGGGCCCUUUAUUCCUAAACUGUUGGGACCAAAACUCUCAAAAUCAAUACCAACCUUCCUUUUAUGGUCAUAAACCUUGUGUUUAAAUUUCAUAGAUUUCUAUUUACUUAAACUAAAGUUAUUGUGCGAAAACCAAGAAUAAUGCUUAUUUGGGCCCUUUUUUGGCCCCUAAUUCCGAAACUGUUGGAACCAAAACUCCCAAAAUCAAUCCCAACCUUUCUUUUGUAGUCAUAAACCUUGUGUCAAAAUUUCAUAGAUUUCUAUUAACUUAAACUAAAGUUAUAGUGCGAAAACCAAGAAAAUGCUUAUUUGGGCCCUUUUUGGCCCCUUAUUCCUAAAAUGUGGGGACCAAAACUCCCAAAAUCAAUCCCAACCUUCCUUUUGUGGUCAUAAACCUUGUGUUAAAAUUUCAUAGAUUUCUAUUCACUUUUACUAAAGUUAGAGUGCGAAAACCAAAAGUAUUCGGACGACGACGACGCCGACGACGCAGACGACGACGACGACGACGACGACGACGCAGACGACGACGCCAACGUGAUAGCAAUAUACGACGAAAAAUUUUUCAAAUUUUGCGGUCGUAUAAAAAC